ACCCAGGGAAAUGCAUCCCCGACGGAUGCUUAACACCUGCUGACAUUGUGAAACAAGGGGAAGAGGUACAAGUUGUAGGUAGUAUUUCGCGCCAUUAGGACACAGUCAUUAUUCACAGCAACAUCAUGCCGCGGUGUUUACACUGCAAGCAGCCAGAAAGUGGAAAAACACUUGUCAACCUUUGGAGGGACCAAUCAAAUGGCUUGGGGGCGCGGUUUUCCCCUGAUCAUCCUGGGAAAAGAAAACUCACUUCCUGCAUGCCGAGAAGAGAAAGGAGACUAUUACCAAUGAUCCUUUCCGGCAGAAAUAUUUAAAGCGACAAGCCAAGCUGCCAAACUCUCCAUUCAUUCAGCAACAAAGACCUCAAUAUCCUUGGCCCGCGGCUGCUAACCAGGGGAUGGAGGACACUCUCACUGGCCUGUGGAAUUCUGGAGUCCUGGAAACAUCCACCUCCUCGUGGUGUACACUACUCAGGCCAGUUUUAAAAUCAGAUGGUAACACUUAUCGUAUGGCGCAUGAUUUGAGAGCCGUUAAUGAUGUAACGACCACACCAUUGUUACCUCUACCAGACCCCCACAGAAUGUUGUUUACCAACACACCUGAUUUGAAAUACUUCACAGCAAAUGAUUUGGCAAAUGCAUUCUUCUGUGUCCCACUCGCACCCGAGUGUAGACACUUGUUUCCAUUCAGAUAUCAGGGACACAAUUUGCAAUACACCAGGUUGCCACAAGGCUUCAAAAAUUCACCUGGAAUCUUUAAUCGAUGUUUGAAAUCAUUGCUGUAGGAUCUAAAACUCCCAGACGGAUGUAAACUUCUGAUCUACGUUGAUGACUUCCUGUUGGAAGCCCCAACAGCAGAGUCAUGUUUGUCUCUAAACUUCUGAUCUCUCUGUCCAACCUCUCACUAACGGCAGGGUCCUCUUCGCUGAUGGUUGCUGUUACCGUAAGACGAAUGGCUCUUUGGCUGCGGCAGCUGCCGUCGUGGAGCAGCAGCCCUCAGAUGGCCUGAGGCCUACCCAUGCGCUCACGAAGACACCAUGUCAGUAAUGAAAGCUUUGGUGAACCACUGGAUUCCAACGUACGGUUUUCCCGCUCUCAUCCACUCGGACAACGGUACACAUUUCACAUCCACACACCUAGCUACUGUAGAGAAGUGGUUCGGGUUAACUCACAAGUUUGGUUGUGUUUAUCACCCCACCGAGGUUCAGUUGAACGUAUGAAUCGCACGGUGAAGGAAAAACCUGGCUAAAAUAUGUACUUCUUGUGGCAUGAAUUGGGUUCAGGCUCUUCUCCUUGCUCUAAUGUCUGUGAGACAAACUGUGUCUCGCCCUACUGGUUUCUCUCCUUAUGAACUUCUUACAGGUCGUCUGAUGCCUGGCCCUUCCUCCUCACUCCAACCGCUGGAGGAAGGCGCUGUGUCUCCUUAGUUUUUUCAUAAACUGUUUCGGACACAACUGCAUUCUUUUGCUUCUAAUGUCUCCUUAAAGAUCCAAGACUCUCUUCCAUCCCCACCUCCUGCACUUGAUCUUCCUGAGUAGCCAUCUGUCUACCUUAAACGGCUCGUAAGUGGUCAGAAUCCCGUUGGUCUGGCCCCUACAAGGUGAUUGCUCGUACCUCCAAAGCAGUCUACUUGGAAGAAAGAGGAACUUAGUGGUUUCAUUAUUCUAUGAUUUGCUCUGCUACAGACUCUUACUUGCACUUUAUUUUAUUGUUUGUUGUUGUUUUAUUAAGGGAAUAUCUGGGAUUCUUAUUAUUAGUGUUAUUGUUGUUGGUUAUUUUGAUCUGGGAAAUCGUUCAAAAAUACCCCAUACCUACACCCACAUCAGUGCCAGAUGUUAGCACAACCCACCCGGAAAAGGGGGCAGCCACUUUUACCAUGGACCCAUACAUAUGAAUACCUUGUGUUACCAGGCAGCUUUUGUCUUCUUCUUUGGGCUAUCCUACCAGAAGACACACGAGACGAUACCUAGAUAAGAUCCGGAUGUCUUUAUUGCACAUUCCUUUGUAAUAAAUCCAUUUGCUGUUAACUUUGUCUAACCAUUGGUCAUCCCUUCCUCGAUCAGCGAAUACGUGUAGGGUACAAACUCGCAAAUCCCUUCAAUGUGCAACAACAAAGCUCAAUGCAGCAACAAGGCAAUUGGGAAAAACGAAGAUGGAGUUUGUUAGCACAGAACAAAAACCUAUUUUACAAAAAACAUUAUAUCAAUGGGAGGCCAUUUUGAGCCAUGCUUUUUGCAUGCCUCAACAGGAGGGAAAUGAAGAGUAAAUACAUGAUACAAUUUAUGGAAAAAAAAUUUGUAAAGCAUGUUUGAUCUGUGCUAAACAUAACCCACAAGAUUCCGACCAAAAAGGGGGAGGUUUCCGACACCUACUUAUCCCUUUCAAAGAAUAUUGUCAUGGUCCUGCCGAUCAGACCUUGCUGUGCGGGUUCCCGCACGGCUGCGCUGAUUGGGAGGCACACACCUGCGCCUCAUACUGGCUGAUUGGCCCCGGUGUAUAUCGGACCCUGGGGACGACUGGUCCGGCGCCAGAUCGUUGUGGCUCAUGCCGCGUUCCUGAACUCCCGUAUCUCUGAUCGUGAACCUGUGUGUACCGACCUCCGCCUGUUCUCCGACCGACCCCGUGAGCCUGAAUCCUUUGUCACUCCUGCCUUCUUUGAUCGAUCUCCCGUGUACCGACUCCUGCCUGCCCAUGGACCUGAUCUCUACGCCCGACGUCUUGACUACCGCUGCUGCACCUGACGGUCUGCCUGAUCCCCGACCUUGGAACAAUAAAAGUUUUUCCCGAAUUACCUCUGCGUCUCCCGAGUCCUGCAUUUGGGUCCUGUGACGUGAUGAGCAUCUUCCAGGCUCUCAGCAGGAGGCUAAAUUAGUCAAGCUGGGAGGCUGGGUGCUUGUGAGAAGUGUGAGGAAGGAUCAUUGGCCCUCUUUUAAGUUACCGACCAUGCCAACAUCUUAAAAAACAAUAGAUUAAUAAAUAAAAAUAGAAAACACAUUGUAAUGACACAUUGUAAAAAGGUCAUUUCAUUCUAGGAUCCAUUUGGUCAAAAGUCAGAGAAGGCAUUAAUAGACACCUAACUGUUUAGGGACACCUAGAUGAAAUGCCUACCUUAAAAGUGGUUAAGUCCCAAAUUAGGAGGCUGUGGCGUGGUCACAAUCAUGAUAACGUUCUUAUUGCUUAUGACACAUUUGUGGAGCAUCGGAAUGUUGUCCUAUGAUGAAAAAGCUUUGACACUCCCAAUCAUUUUGAGCACCACCAAAGUACCUUUGAAACCACCUUCUCAUGAAGAAUCAAGUGUACGUCAUGUUUCUUCUUUGCGAAGACAAGAAUAAUCUCAAGGCCACAGAGAUAACUACUAGUACCUCUUCUUUUAAAUCAAAAUUCACCAAAGUAAAAGUGAUCCAAAAAGUAGAGGCUGGUGACUGGUUUCAAAUUGCGACAGGCAUUUUUUGAAAAAAUAAUAAUUGGUUUCCAAUGGUGGCACAGUGGAGCAGUUGUGGAGUGUUGGCCUCAGUCCUGAGGAUUGGGGUUCAAAUCCCGGCCCCGCCUGUUUGGAGUUGCAUGUUGACCCACUGCCUGUGUGAGUUUUCUCUGGGCACUCCGGUAUCCUCCCACAUCCCAAAAACAUGCAACAUUAAUUGGACACUAAAUUAACCCAAAGUGUGAUUGUGAGUGCGGCUGUUGUCAAUCCAUGUUCCCUGCGGUUGACUGGUAGCUGGU
Long non-coding RNA from Syngnathoides biaculeatus (alligator pipefish), 3719 nucleotides. RefSeq lists it as uncharacterized. The transcript has 4 exons. The record is from RefSeq and is a predicted model, not a curated record. NCBI's taxonomy places the organism in Eukaryota, Metazoa, Chordata, Actinopteri, Syngnathiformes, Syngnathidae.